CCCGCUGAACUUAAGCAUAUCAAUAAGCGGAGGAAAAGAAACUAACAAGGAUUCCCCUAGUAACUGCGAGUGAAGCGGGAAGAGCUCAAAUUUAAAAUCUGGCAGUCUUUGGCUGUCCGAGUUGUAAUCUAGAGAAGUGUUACCCGUGCUGGACCGUAUACAAGUCCUCUGGAAUGGGGCGUCAUAGAGGGUGAGAAUCCCGUCUUUGAUACGGACUACCAGUGCUUUGUGGUGCGCUCUCGAAGAGUCGAGUUGUUUGGGAAUGCAGCUCAAAAUGGGUGGUAAAUUCCAUCUAAAGCUAAAUAUAGGCGAGAGACCGAUAGCGAACAAGUACCGUGAGGGAAAGAUGAAAAGAACUUUGGAAAGAGAGUUAAACAGUACGUGAAAUUGCUGAAAGGGAAACGCUUGAAGUCAGUCGCGUUGGCUGAGAAUCAGCCUUGCUCUUUUGCUUGGUGUACUUCUCAGUUGAUGGGUCAGCAUCAGUUUCGACUGCUGGAUAAAGCUCGAGGGAAUGUGGCAUCUUCGGAUGUGUUAUAGCCCUCGUUCGUAUACAGCAGUUGGGACUGAGGAACUCAGCAUGCCGCAAGGCCGGGUUUUUAACCACGUACGUGCUUAGGAUGCUGGCAUAAUGGCUUUAAUCGACCCGUCUUGAAACACGG
This 659-nucleotide ribosomal RNA is filed under the name uncultured fungus. RNAcentral's name for it is "eukaryotic LSU rRNA". It matches the Rfam family "Eukaryotic large subunit ribosomal RNA", at positions 24 to 664 of the family's 3401-position model. Lineage: Eukaryota; Fungi. The record is from RNAcentral.